RNAcentral lists this ribosomal RNA (1332 nucleotides) under uncultured rumen bacterium. RNAcentral's name for it is "bacterial SSU rRNA". It matches the Rfam family "Bacterial small subunit ribosomal RNA", at positions 43 to 1377 of the family's 1533-position model. The record is from RNAcentral.
CAGGCCUAACACAUGCAAGUCGAACGGGGUMUAUGAAAUGAAGUUUUCGGAUGGAUUUUUGUAUACUUAGUGGCGGACGGGUGAGUAACGCGUGGGCAACCUGCCUUACACAGGGGGACAACAGUUGGAAACGACUGCUAAUACCGCAUAAGCGCACGGUACCGCAUGGUACAGUGUGAAAAACUCCGGUGGUGUAAGAUGGGCCCGCGUCUGAUUAGGCAGUUGGCGGGGUAACGGCCCACCAAACCGACGAUCAGUAGCCGACCUGAGAGGGUGACCGGCCACAUUGGGACUGAGACACGGCCCAAACUCCUACGGGAGGCAGCAGUGGGGAAUAUUGCACAAUGGGGGAAACCCUGAUGCAGCGACGCCGCGUGAGUGAAGAAGUAUUUCGGUAUGUAAAGCUCUAUCAGCAGGGAAGAAGAUGACGGUACCUGCAUAAGAAGCCCCGGCUAACUACGUGCCAGCAGCCGCGGUAAUACGUAGGGGGCAAGCGUUAUCCGGAUUUACUGGGUGUAAAGGGAGCGCAGACGGUUAGGUAAGUCUGAUGUGAAAGACCGGGGCUCAACCCCGGGCCUGCAUUGGAAACUGUUUAACUUGAGUGCCGGAGAGGUAAGCGGAAUUCCUAGUGUAGCGGUGAAAUGCGUAGAUAUUAGGAGGAACACCAGUGGCGAAGGCGGCUUACUGGACGGUAACUGACGUUGAGGCUCGAAAGCGUAGGGAGCAAACAGGAUUAGAUACCCUGGUAGUCCACGCGGUAAACGAUGAAUACUAGGUGUCGGGAUCCAGAGGAUUUCGGUGCCGCAGCAAACGCAAUAAGUAUUCCACCUGGGGAGUACGUUCGCAAGAAUGAAACUCAAAGGAAUUGACGGGGACCCGCACAAGCGGUGGAGCAUGUGGUUUAAUUCGAAGCAACGCGAAGAACCUUACCAAGUCUUGACAUCCCCCUGACGUAAGGGUAAUGCCUUAUUUCCUUCGGGACAGGGGAGACAGGUGGUGCAUGGUUGUCGUCAGCUCGUGUCGUGAGAUGUUGGGUUAAGUCCCGCAACGAGCGCAACCCUUAUCCCCAGUAGCCAGCGGUCAGGCCGGGCACUCUGAGGAGACUGCCAGGGACAACCUGGAGGAAGGUGGGGAUGACGUCAAAUCAUCAUGCCCCUUAUGUCCUGGGCUACACACGUGUUACAAUGGCCGGUACAGCGAGCAGCCAACUUGCGAAAGUGAGCAAAUCUCUAAAAACCGGUCUCAGUUCGGAUUGCACUCUGCAACUCGAGUGCAUGAAGUCGGAAUCGCUAGUAAACGCAGAUCAGCACGCUGCGUUGAAUACGUUCCCGG